GGUUCAGGAUGAACGCUGGCGGCGUGCUUAACACAUGCAAGUCGAACGGGCCUAAGACUGAAGCUUGCUUUAGUUUAGGUUAGUGGCGGACGGGUGAGUAACGCGUGGGUAACCUACCCUGUGCAGGGGGAUAGCAGCUGGAAACGGCUGAUAAAACCGCAUAACACGGCAAGAUCGCAUGAUGAUGCCGUCAAAUAUUUAUAGGCACAGGAUGGGCCCGCGUCUGAUUAGCUAGUUGGCGGGGUAACGGCCCACCAAGGCGACGAUCAGUAGCCGGCCUGAGAGGGUGAACGGCCACAUUGGGACUGAGACACGGCCCAAACUCCUACGGGAGGCAGCAGGUGGGGAAUAUUGGACAAUGGGGGGAACCCUGAUCCAGCGACGCCCGCGUGAGUGAAGAAGUAUUUCGGUAUGUAAAGCUCUAUCAGCAGGGAAGAUGAUGACGGUACCUGACUAAGAAGCACCGGCUAAAUACGUGCCAGCAGCGGC
RNAcentral lists this ribosomal RNA (489 nucleotides) under uncultured bacterium. Its description in RNAcentral is "bacterial SSU rRNA". It matches the Rfam family "Bacterial small subunit ribosomal RNA", at positions 21 to 518 of the family's 1533-position model. The record is from RNAcentral.